GACGAACGCUGGCGGCGUGCUUAAUACAUGCAAGUCGAACGGAAAGGCCCUGCUCUUGCGGGGUGCUCGAGUGGCGAACGGGUGAGUAACACGUGAGUAACCUGCCCUUGACUUUGGGAUAACUCCAGGAAACUGGGGCUAAUACCGGAUAGGAGCUCCUGCUGCAUGGUGGGGGUUGGAAAGUUUCGGCGGUUGGGGAUGGACUCGCGGCUUAUCAGCUUGUUGGUGGGGUAGUUGCUUACCAAGGCUUUGACGGGUAGCCGGCCUGAGAGGGUGACCGGCCACAUUGGGACUGAGAUACGGCCCAGAAGCCAACGGGCGGCAGCAGUGGGGAAUAUUGCGGAAUGGGCGGAAGCCUGAUGCAGCAACGCCGCGUGCGGGAUGACGGCCUUCGGGUUGUAAACAGCUUUCGCCUGUGACGAAGAGUGAGUGACGGUAAUGGGUAAAGAAGCACCGGCUAACUACGUG
This 468-nucleotide ribosomal RNA is filed under the name uncultured bacterium. Its description in RNAcentral is "partial 16S ribosomal RNA". It matches the Rfam family "Bacterial small subunit ribosomal RNA", at positions 28 to 507 of the family's 1533-position model. The record is from RNAcentral.